Molecule: ribosomal RNA, 867 nt
Filed under: Diptilomiopus sp. GX39
Lineage: Eukaryota; Metazoa; Arthropoda; Arachnida; Trombidiformes; Diptilomiopidae
Description: partial large subunit ribosomal RNA
Rfam family: Eukaryotic large subunit ribosomal RNA
Source: RNAcentral
AAAUAGAACUUUGCAGAGAGAGUUAAGAGGGCGUGAAACCGUUAAUUGGCAAACGAAUCGGAGCCACGAAGUCGUUUCGUUGAGUUUGGCCGAGUUCAGCCAAGAAUCAGCCGAUUCUUGGUGUAUUCUUGGCCAGGCCUCUCUGUAAGCGUACACUGCAACCAGUUAGACGAUUGGAAAUGGGCCCAGUUGUUCGGGUUAGUAGUAGUGUGCGGUGUAUUUCGGUGCAUUCAUACUGCUGGGCCUGUGGCAAGUGAACUAUUACCAAAUACUGACUGGCAAAAUGAAAAUCGCGCAAGCGUUGCACAAAAUGCAGCCCUGCGCCUAGGGGUCUACACAUGUGACCAUGGGGUUUUUUAAGCUCGGCAUUCUUGAAUUUAGGCUUGCUUGCUACCAAUGGGGCAACUCUUGGUGCUUGUACAGUUUCUAUCUAAUCGGGUGUUGACUUGAUCCUAUGUCGUUCGGGUGUGCUCUGUUUGGGCCCCUAUGUGACUGGGUUUGCAAUUAUUGGCAGUGAGUAGGUCGGCUUUCCGAACGACCCGUCUUGAAACACGGACCAAGGAGUCUAAUUAGGCAUCGAGUCGAUCGGUCUUGAAUAGGCCAGACUAUGUGGCUUCAUGUGAUUGAAGGCGUAGAGACAUGUGAUCGUGUGGACAAUAGCAGUCCUAGCGCGCAACAUGUGCCUGUUCGUAUAGCAAUGUAGCAAUAAUUGCUGGCGGAGCAAAGAGAUGUCUGAUUGGUACCCGAAAGAUGGUGAGCUUGGGCAAGUUGAAGCCAGAGGAAACUCUGGUGGAGGACUGUAGCGAUUCUGACGUGCAAAUCGAUCGUCAGACCUGAGUAUAGGGGCGAAAGACUAAUCGAACCAUC